This 2218-nucleotide long non-coding RNA is filed under the name Zonotrichia albicollis (white-throated sparrow). Its description in RNAcentral is "lncRNA (ENSZALG00000011928.1)". Lineage: Eukaryota; Metazoa; Chordata; Aves; Passeriformes; Passerellidae. The record is from RNAcentral.
GGAGCCCUGGCACCCCCCUUGUGGGCACAGUGAUGUGGCACAGAGGGGGUUCUGUGCCUGCUCCUCGUGUGCAGUCCAGCCCCAGGCACCUCAGCUUGUGCAAGAGGGACCUUCCUCCCACAGGGACAGGCUGGGGGAGUGGAGCAGUUCCCAUUCCCAUUCCCAGUGUUGCCAUUCCCACUCCUGUUACUAUUCCCAUUCCCAUUCCCUUUCCCACUCCUGUUCCUGUUCCCACUCCCAUCCCCAUUCCCAUUCCCUGUGUUCCCGUUCCCUGAGCUGAUCUGUCAGCUCCAAUCCCUCCUCACAGACCAAACCAUCCCUGACGUUUCUCCCUGAGCGCCGCUCCUGCCUUGUGGCUCUCCCGAGGGCAGAGCAGGGCAGGGCCAAGGGGGCACAGGGGACACCAGGCAGCCCCGGGUGCCCCAGAUGGACGGGGCAGCGCUGGAGCAGGAGCUGUUCCCUUCUCCAGGCUGAUAUUCCCAAAAUCAAGGUUAUGAGCGAUAAAGCCGGGCUGAAAUCUGAGAUUUGUAUUAAUUUAUUUAUUUUAAAAGCAGCCCUGCAGCCCGGGCUCUCCCUGUGCUCCCUGAUAUCUCCGGUUCCCUGCCGGCUCCUGGGACAGAGCCAAGUGUGUCACGUCCCCACCUUUCCCUUGCCUUGGGGACAGGGACAGCCCCUCCUGCCACACUGGUGCCCUGGGCACUGCUCCGUGCCAGGCUGGCAGCAGAGGAGAGCAGAGCAGACACGGAGCCAGGUCUGUGCCCCCUGCCCUGUCCUGUGCCCGGGGCACCCCCCUGGAGGGGUCCCUGUGCCAGGGCAGGGCUUUCCAUGGGCGCUGCAGGAGCCACACUCCAGGUGGGACCAUGGUGGAAAGGUUUGGGUUGGAAGGGGCUGGAAAUUCCAUCGAGUUCCAGGCUGGAAAAGCAGCUGCACCCAGCCAGGGGAUGGAUUCCUGGGCAAGAAACCCAUCCUCAUUCCCUGGCACUGCCAGCCAGGAGAGGGCUCCAGCUGGGACCGGGGAGAGGCUGCACCGAGGACCUGCUGCCCACGGUGCCCACCUGGCCCAGGUGCCAGCAGGGAGGGGCAGAGCAUCCUGCCAGGGCCCUCUGGGUACCUGCUCUGCCCUGGNUUGAGGAGCUGUGAAGAGCUGCGGGAGCUGGCGCUGGCGCGGGGCAGUUCCCACCGCCCUCAAUGGGCUCUUUGUGCGCCGCCGGAGAAGCUGAAUCCAAUUACCGGCAGAGGCCAAAAACAGCGUCCCCGCCAGCCCCGGGGGCAGCGCGGCCUCGGCAGCGCUCAGGAACCUUUUGUGUGAGGUUUUGUUUUGUUUUCGCAAGAGGCAGAAACCCCCCAGCGAUGCUGCAGCAGUCCCAGCCUUUAAAUCCUUUCGGGAUGCAAAUGCUUUGGGGAUGUGCUCGAUGCUGCAGCCGUCCCAGCCUUUAAAUGCUUUCGGGAUGUGAAUACUUUCGGGAUGUGCUGGCCAGCAUUCCCUAAAGAGCACUGGGAAAGCACCAGGAAAGCGCUGGAAAUCACAGAAUUAUUCAGGCUGGGAAAGACCUCUGAGAUCACCGAGUCCACACUGUGCCCCAUUCCCCACCUUGUCCCCAGCCCAGAGCUCUGAGUGCCACCUCCAGCCCUUCCCUGGGCACUCCAAACCCGCCUGGGCAGCCCCUGCCAAUGCCAGGCCACCCUCUCCAUGUGGAAAUUCCUCCUGAGAUCCCCUGGCACAGCUCAGUUCACUCAGUUGGGAUGGCCAAGUAAAGCCAUCUUUUCUAAGAGAUCUUGGAAAUCAGGAUUCCCAAGGAUUUAAGGUUUAAGAAAUUAGGAUUUCUUCUUUUUAAGGUUCAAGAAAUUAGGAUUUCUUCUCUUUAAGGUUUAAGAAAUUAGGAUUUCUUCUCUUUAAGGUUUAAGAAGUUAGGAUGUAAGGAAUUGGAGCCCUUGGGCUGAGCUGAGGGGGUGCCCCUGCAGCCCCUGUGACACUCAGAGUGUGGCAGAGGGGCAGGAUUGGGACAGGGAGGACAGAGAGGGUUCAGAACUGGGCAGUGCCAGCACUUUGUGCCCCCAUGUCAGGGCACAGGCCGAUCCUGCUCUUCUUCCUGCAGCUUGAAUGCAUUUGCUUUAUAUUGGGGCCAUUCCCUCUCAUUUCAGGGAGCAGAGCCCGACCCCAUUGAAUUUUGGGGCUGUUGGGAGCUGUCCCCUGUCACUGUAGGACACAUGGGGAUGU